Molecule: long non-coding RNA, 528 nt
Filed under: Felis catus (domestic cat)
Lineage: Eukaryota; Metazoa; Chordata; Mammalia; Carnivora; Felidae
Description: lncRNA (ENSFCAG00000049423.1)
Source: RNAcentral
CCACCUCCUCCUCCUCCCAGCUCUGCCGCUGCCGCCGCCGCCGCCGCCGGAAAAGGCGCCGAAGAAACCGCCUCACUUCCCCUCCCGAUCACGCAGGCGCAACAAGGCCGACCGUUCAACGAGAGCGACCUCUGACCCGUCCACGUUACUUAAAAGUAACAGUGUUACCAAGAGUUCCCGUGCCUUGGCGCAUUUUCAGCUUUUUAAGCAUAGUAUUCUGCAUUUGAUCUGCCUUACUUCCUGACUUGCUGGUAAGGGAUUCAGCUUCUCAAGGAGAUCUUUCUAAUGGCCAAGUUGGUGGUGAAAGCAAAGAUGGAAGAACUUUCCAUGUUACAGGACCCAGAGAAAAGAUUAAUCUUCCAAAUCUCAAGAAAAGGUGGCAUACCAAGAACAAACAAGGGAGCAGUUUUUGCUGUUGAGUACCUUUGGACUUUCAGUAUACAACUGUCUGUAGUAGGUCCUAUUCUAAGAUACAAUUUUGAGCAUAGUGUCCAAAAUUUAUGUGUGGAAAUGGUUGUAAAAUCCUAG